UGUAUAGCUGAAUACAGUUGGCUUGUUUGGGCUGCUUGGCGUGUGUGUGUUUGCUCUUGCAUUCCAUAUCCAAUGUAGCUUUUGCUUCAAGUGGAUGUGAUUUGGUUCAGCAGGCUGUGGAUACUUAGACUGCAGAAGAUCUUCAAGUCAGUAAAAGCAGCAGAAGACUCUUCAGAAUAUUUUUGCUACCCUUUGAGGGAACCACUAACACCUCAACACCAUGCAGACUGGUGCUGCAGAGGCAACAGCCCUUGCGUAACACCAUGUUUUCAAAGAGCUCCUGAAUACCGUGCUACUUUACGCAGGACUUCCCUUUCCAAUUUUAUCACUGGUGCUCUCCUAGAAGCAACCACGUCACUGGGAGCUAGAAGUGGUACGUUAAAUAUUUUAGGAGGAUCAACUGGAAAGACCAUGCUAAAAGCCAUGCUCAUAACUAUUUCCGGUGUGCUCCUGAAUGGAGGAAUGGAUAUAUCCACACAACUAUUUGCAUGAAUGCCCUGU
This is a non-coding RNA of Podarcis muralis (Common wall lizard), 501 nucleotides long. NCBI's taxonomy places the organism in Eukaryota, Metazoa, Chordata, Lepidosauria, Squamata, Lacertidae. The record is from RefSeq and is a predicted model, not a curated record.